This 1517-nucleotide ribosomal RNA is filed under the name Bacillota bacterium. RNAcentral describes it as "bacterial SSU rRNA". It matches the Rfam family "Bacterial small subunit ribosomal RNA". RNAcentral also lists the same sequence under 2 other names. The record is from RNAcentral. Lineage: Bacteria; Bacillati; Bacillota.
AGAGUUUGAUCCUGGCUCAGGACUAACGCUGGCGGCGUGCCUAAUACAUGCAAGUCGAACGGGAUUCUUUGAUCAGCUUGCUGAGAGAAGGAUCUAGUGGCGGACGGGUGAGUAACGCGUGGGAAUCUGCCUCUUACUGGGGGAUAACAGUGGGAAACUACUGCUAAUACCGCAUAAGAUCUUCGGAUGAAAGGUGCAACUGCACCGGUAAGAGAUGAGCCCGCGUCCCAUUAGCUAGUUGGUGAGGUAAAGGCUCACCAAGGCGACGAUGGGUAGCCGGCCUGAGAGGGUGAACGGCCACACUGGGACUGAGACACGGCCCAGACUCCUACGGGAGGCAGCAGUAGGGAAUCUUCCGCAAUGGGCGCAAGCCUGACGGAGCGACGCCGCGUGAGUGAUGAAGGCCUUCGGGUCGUAAAGCUCUGUUCUUGAGGACGAAUAAGCCAGGGAGUGGAAAGCCCUGGUGAUGACUGUACUCAAGGAGAAAGCUCCGGCUAACUACGUGCCAGCAGCCGCGGUAAUACGUAGGGAGCUAGCGUUGUCCGGAAUUACUGGGUGUAAAGGGCGCGCAGGCGGUUUCAUAAGUCAGGUGUGAAAGCCCGGGGCUCAACUCCGGAUAUGCACUUGAAACUGUGAGACUAGAGUGUGAGAGAGGAAAGUGGAAUUCCCGGUGUAGCGGUGAAAUGCGUAGAUAUCGGGAGGAACACCAGUGGCGAAGGCGGCUUUCUGGCUCACAACUGACGCUCAGGCGCGAAAGCUGGGGGAGCAAACAGGAUUAGAUACCCUGGUAGUCCCAGCCGUAAACGAUGGAUACUAGGUGUGGGGGGAUCGACCCCCUCCGUGCCGCAGUUAACGCAAUAAGUAUCCCACCUGGGGAGUACGGCCGCAAGGCUGAAACUCAAAGGAAUUGACGGGGGCCCGCACAAGCGGUGGAGCAUGUGGUUUAAUUCGAUGCAACGCGAAGAACCUUACCAGGGCUUGACAUCCCCUGCUACCUAUCGAAAGAUGGGGUUCUCUUCGGAGACAGGGAGACAGGUGGUGCAUGGUUGUCGUCAGCUCGUGUCGUGAGAUGUUAGGUUAAGUCCUGCAACGAGCGCAACCCCUAUCUUUAGUUGCUAACACUUCGGGUGAGCACUCUAAAGAGACUGCCGGUGAUAAACCGGAGGAAGGUGGGGACGACGUCAAAUCAUCAUGCCCUUUAUGUCCUGGGCUACACACGUGCUACAAUGGCUCAUACAGAGGGAAGCGACCUGGCGACAGGAAGCGGAUCCCUUAAAGUGGGUCACAGUUCGGAUUGCAGGCUGCAACUCGCCUGCAUGAAGUCGGAAUCGCUAGUAAUCGCAGGUCAGCAUACUGCGGUGAAUACGUUCCCGGGCCUUGUACACACCGCCCGUCACACCACGAAAGUCUGUCAUGCCCGAAGCCGGUGGCCUAACCGUAAGGAGGGAGCCGUCUAAGGCGGGACAGGUGAUUGGGGUGAAGUCGUAACAAGGUAGCCGUAUCGGAAGGUGCGGCUG